CCUACGGGAGGCUGCAGUGAGGAAUAUUGGUCAAUGGGCGCGAGCCUGAACCAGCCAAGUAGCGUGAAGGAUGACUGCCCUACGGGUUGUAAACUUCGUUUAUAAAGGAAUAAAGUGAGGCACGUGUGCCGUUUUGUAUGUACUUUAUGAAUAAGGAUCGGCUAACUCCGUGCCAGCAGCCGCGGUAAGACGGAGGAUCCGAGCGUUAUCCGGAUUUAAUGGGUUUAAAGGGAGCGUAGAGGGGUUGGUAAGUCAGUUGUGAAAGUUUGCGGCUCAACCGUAAAAUUGCAAUUUAUACUGGCAGUCUUGCGUACAGUUGAGGUAGGCGGAAUUCGUGGUGUAGCGGU
This 347-nucleotide ribosomal RNA is filed under the name uncultured bacterium. Its description in RNAcentral is "partial 16S ribosomal RNA". It matches the Rfam family "Bacterial small subunit ribosomal RNA", at positions 338 to 682 of the family's 1533-position model. The record is from RNAcentral.